Molecule: ribosomal RNA, 497 nt
Filed under: uncultured bacterium
Lineage: Bacteria
Description: partial 16S ribosomal RNA
Rfam family: Bacterial small subunit ribosomal RNA
Source: RNAcentral
GAUGAACGCUGGCGGCGUGCCUAAUACAUGCAAGUCGAGCGAACAGACGAGGAGCUUGCUCCUCUGACGUUAGCGGCGGACGGGUGAGUAACACGUGGAUAACCUACCUAUAAUACUGGGAUAACUUCGGGAAACCGGAGCUAAUACCGGAUAAUAUAUUGAACCGCAUUGUUCAAUAGUGAAAGACGGUUUUGCUGUCACUUAUAGAUGUAUCCGCGCCGCAUUAGCUAGUUGGUAAGGUAACGGCUUACCAAGGCAACGAUGCGUAGCCGACAUGAGAGGGUGAUCGGCCACACUGGAACUGAGACACGGUCCAGACUCCUACGGGAGGCAGCAGUAGGGAAUAUUCCGCAAUGGGCGAAAGCCUGACGGAGCAACGCCGCGUGAGUGAUGAAGGUCUUCGGAUCGUAAAACUCUGUUAUUAGGGAAGAACAAAUGUGUAAGUAAAUAUGCACGUCUUGACGGUACCUAAUCAGAAAGCCACGGCUAACUACGUG